AAUAGAUACCCAGGUAGUCCUAGCCGUAAACGAUGGGUACUAGGUGUAGGUGGUUUCGAUACCAUCUGUGCCGUAGUUAACGCAUUAAGUACCCCGCUUGGGGAGUACGGUCGCAAGACUGAAACUCAAAGGAAUUGACGGGGGCCCGCACAAGCGGUGGAGCAUGUGGUUUAAUUCGAAGCAACGCGAAGAACCUUACCAGGUCUUGACAUCACCUAGAAGAGUGUGGAAACAUACUCGUCCUUUGGACUGGGUGACAGGUGGUGCAUGGUUGUCGUCAGCUCGUGUCGUGAGAUGUUGGGUUAAGUCCCGCAACGAGCGCAACCCUUGUCCUUAGUUGCCAGCAUUAAGUUGGGCACUCUAAGGAGACUGCCGGUGACAAAUCGGAGGAAGGUGGGGAUGACGUCAAAUCAUCAUGCCCCUUAUGACCUGGGCUACACACGUGCUACAAUGGGCGGUACAGAGGGCAGCGAAGGGGUGACCCGGAGCGAAUCCCAGAAAGCCGCUCUCAGUUCGGAUUGCAGGCUGCAACUCG
RNAcentral lists this ribosomal RNA (535 nucleotides) under uncultured bacterium. RNAcentral describes it as "bacterial SSU rRNA". It matches the Rfam family "Bacterial small subunit ribosomal RNA", at positions 777 to 1314 of the family's 1533-position model. The record is from RNAcentral.